Molecule: small nucleolar RNA, 79 nt
Organism: Salvia splendens (bonfire salvia)
Lineage: Eukaryota; Viridiplantae; Streptophyta; Magnoliopsida; Lamiales; Lamiaceae
Product: small nucleolar RNA SNORD18
Exons: 1
Source: RefSeq, a predicted model, not a curated record
GAGAUACGAUGAUUUCAUUAUUUGGUCCGUGUUUCUGAACUUAACCUGACUGAUAAACCCUUUCCAAAACUCUGAUCUC